GUGGGGAAUAUUGGACAAUGGGCGAAAGCCUGAUCCAGCCAUGCCGCGUGUGUGAAGAAGGUCUUCGGAUUGUAAAGCACUUUAAGUUGGGAGGAAGGGCAGUAAGUUAAUACCUUGCUGUUUUGACGUUACCGACAGAAUAAGCACCGGCUAACUUCGUGCCAGCAGCCGCGGUAAUACGAAGGGUGCAAGCGUUAAUCGGAAUUACUGGGCGUAUAGCGCGCGUAGGUGGUUUUGUAAGUUGGAGCUGAAAUGCCCUGGCUCAACCUGGGAACUGCCUCCAAAACUGCAUGACUAGAGUACGGUAGAGGGUAGUGGAAUUUCCUGUGUAGCGGUGAAAUGCGUAGAUAUAGGAAGGAACACCAGUGGCGAAGGCGACUACCUGGACUGAUACUGACACUGAGGUGCGAAAGCGUGGGGAGCAAACAGGAUUAGAUACCCUUGUAGUCC
RNAcentral lists this ribosomal RNA (450 nucleotides) under uncultured bacterium. Its description in RNAcentral is "bacterial SSU rRNA". It matches the Rfam family "Bacterial small subunit ribosomal RNA", at positions 354 to 796 of the family's 1533-position model. The record is from RNAcentral.